CAACGACAGACCGGCUCAUUUGCAGAGGAUGUGCAUCGCCUGCGUCUCGUCAGCAUCUUAGACGGUGGACUCGGACGGGCAUGCUGGCAUCUCUCCCUCUGUGACGCAACGAUGGUGGGUCAUACGGUGAAAAUGAAAAGUGCCGGUGAAACUCCAGGACGGUGCCAUCUACUUCUCAUGCGGUGCCAAAAGGGUACUUAUGUUGGAACGUAUCUCUUUGGGUAUACGAAAAGGAGCUGCGAAUGGUAUAGCCAACGUUCUCUGCGGUGUCACUCUUGAGAUCUGCCGCUCUGACAUGCAAAGCAG
Long non-coding RNA from Ornithodoros turicata, 306 nucleotides. RefSeq lists it as uncharacterized. The transcript is spliced from 4 exons. The record is from RefSeq and is a predicted model, not a curated record. Lineage: Eukaryota; Metazoa; Arthropoda; Arachnida; Ixodida; Argasidae.